Long non-coding RNA from Pseudopipra pipra, 968 nucleotides. RefSeq lists it as uncharacterized. The record is from RefSeq and is a predicted model, not a curated record. NCBI's taxonomy places the organism in Eukaryota, Metazoa, Chordata, Aves, Passeriformes, Pipridae. The transcript has 2 exons.
GCUUCAAAUGCUGAGCCUUUUCUCCACUUUACAGCGGAGGGAAAGAAAAAGGCCCCCCUCCACAGCUUAACUGCGAAAGCGGGGGGAGGAAGAGGGCUUGGCCGCAAGGCCUGCCUUCUCUCUUUCUUGCUUACCAGUUGUUUGUGAGUCGCGUCCCUCACAAACAUACACUCACCCCAAUGCUGUCUCUAACUCUGGCCUAGGCAGAGUGUGUGUGGGGGCCACAGGGCUCCGCUUUCUCCCCCGGAGGGGGGGAAGAAGGAGCCCAGCCACCCCCGGCCUUCUACACCUACACGCAGCAGACACCAACAGAAAAACUGCCAACAGCUUCAGGUGGCUGUGUGUAUAUGAUUUUUCAGCAGAAGCGAAUAAGACAAGUGGUGACUGGCUCUCCAGGGAACACUGCCCUGGCACCCAGUCACCUCUGAGCCCCCAACUCCCGGGAGGGCCAUCUCAAACCGUGACAACAACAUUCUGAACAAAACCCUUCAGUAAUAUGAAAAAGUAAUAAAAUGUGUCAGGUUGGUAAACUGCCACAUUAUUUCAAGGGCUUAGCUCUACGGUGAAUCCUUCCUUUGCGGUGUCAUCUUCACUGUCCCUUGAGGUGGGUUACAGCAGCAAUUGUGUCAUAGAUGGCUUGGCAGCUACUGAAGUGACAGGCUCCAAGUGGUCACUGUGCAAUGAAAGGCCUUCCAUUGAGACACAUUUCCCUAUUACAAUGACAGUUGCUCAUUUAUUAAUCACUCUUUACACAAAAUAAAGGGGUAUAUGUAUGUGUGGGUGUUUGUGGGAAGGCAAUAUGGAGAAGUAGCUUGCUUAAAAGCCUAUGGAAGUACAUGAGUGAUGGAGAAAAGCUGAGAAGAAAGCCUUGAUGAAGAAGGUAAAGGAAGUAUACUGCAGCUGUCGCAGCGUCACUUUUUAUUCAUGUUCAGAUAAUGAAAGGAGCAGGUUUACUCUUGCUUAUGUAA